UUUCCGUAGGUGAACCUGCGGAAGGAUCAUUACAGAGUUCAUGCCCUCACGGGUAGAUCUCCCACCCUUGAAUAUUUAUACCUUAGUUGCUUUGGCAGGCCGUGGAAACACCAUGGGCUCCGGCUUAUGCGUGCCUGCCAGAGGAAACAAACUCUGUUUUUAGUGAUGUCUGAGUACUAUAUAAUAGUUAAAACUUUCAACAACGGAUCUCUUGGCUCUG
Molecule: unclassified non-coding RNA, 220 nt
Filed under: plant metagenome
Description: partial contains small subunit ribosomal RNA, internal transcribed spacer 1, and 5.8S ribosomal RNA
Source: RNAcentral